Molecule: transfer RNA, 156 nt
Filed under: Xenopus laevis (African clawed frog)
Lineage: Eukaryota; Metazoa; Chordata; Amphibia; Anura; Pipidae
Rfam family: tRNA
About the family: Transfer RNA (tRNA) molecules are approximately 80 nucleotides in length.
Source: Rfam by way of RNAcentral
ACCAGGAUGGCCGAGUGGUUAAAGCAUUUGACUUAAGUUCCAAUGGAUGUAUAUACUCCUGGGUUAGAACUUCACUCCUUGUGUAAGUUCUAAAGUCUCCUAUACAUGAGUUCCGAAGGAUGUAUAUCCACGUGGGUUCGAAUCCCACUCCUGGUA